UGGAUGUAGUUCCAUUUUUAAUACUACGUUCCUUCUUCAAAUCUUACUACUCUAGCUCUCUGAUAAAAUUAAUUUCUUGUUAAUUGUGGUCACAAUACAGACCAAACUUUGGUCACAGCUCAAAAGAAUUUCCAUUUCUUAAGGUGCUCAAUAAAUCACCUUUACUUUUGAAAUGUUAGCCUUUUCAGGUUAGGAUCCCUUUCUAGCUUUCUCAAUGAAUAAAAGAAUGUUGAAUCUCUGUGAAAUGGAAUUCAUCUGAGCCUCUUGUGGUAUAUUUGGAUAAGUUACAUUUUCUUAGUGAUAGAGGAGUAUGGUUUUAGUUUUUGAAGUACCCCAAAUUUUAGAGAUUUUGUUUUGUUUUAGGUUAGUGUCUUCUGUGACACCACAGGAUAUAUCAUGUUUGUUAUCCAGUGUUUUUCACUGGAUAACACAGUGAAAAAUGUUUUAAUUCACACAGUGAAUGACCAGUAGAUUAACACAGUGACAUGUGAUUGACAAGCACUUACGGACAUUUAAGAAGGCAUACAGUUUUACCUUUUUGCUGCAAUUUUGGGCUUUUAUAGGAGAAAUGGGCUGUAAAAGAAGUACCUGUAAACCAGAGAGCAUUUAGGAAAUUGUUUAUGGGUGGUCAUGAAGGUGAUCUUCAGGAUAUGAGAUACAUGGUUUACAUAACCUUUGUUCUCCUGAUGUGAAGUUUGUUUUCAUUUUCCUACAACUCAGCACUUUUGUUGUCCAUUACUGUUUACUAUUUAGAAGGAUUAAUGUUUUAUUUGCUUUAUUUGUGCUUUUCAGAGAGUUGUCAUAAUCAUGGCAGUUAUGUUUGUGGCACUAUCAGUGCCAGAAUUCAUGGGAAAUUUAUCAAAUGAUUGCAAGUUAUUCGGCAUCCUAAAGGAAACCGAGGGCUUUUUUGAAAGUCAUGUAUGUUUUAUGAUUAGCUUUGUGAUCAGAGAGAACAGAGCAUUCUGUAUCGUCUUGCCUUAUGUGACUAUUGAUCCAUGUGACUGUUGAUCCUUGUUGUGAAGUAAAAGAGCUUAUUUUGUUAUACUACUUUGUAUGAUGAACAUAAGUCACACUCUGAAGGAAAAAACCCCAAACUGGAGUUGUCAGAAUUUUUAUUCCUAUUUGCAAAACUCUUAGGUAAUAACAUCAGAGCUAUUUCUUAUCAUAAACUCUUGAUUGUCAGCAAGAGAAUUAUAUGUAGUCGGUUCUGUCCCAGUUGGAAUUCCCUUCCCUUUCUAAGCUGUCUCCUUAAUAGUAUUCAUGAUGUCAGGAUAGUGAGUGUGUAAAAGAAAAUGUAGUGAGGUGUUCUGUAUCACACAUCCAAAAUCAUGCAUUUAUGGACUCAAAAUCUUUUCAGUUUUUUGAAUUAUCUAUAGCUAUUUUAUUAGCAUGGGUUGUCAAAAAUCUCCCAGAUUUAAGAGUAAAGAAGAGAAAAGUAAUAUAAACAAAGAGAUGAGGGGAAGAAAAUGGCUUCCUUUUUAAGGUGUUAUUAAUUGUUCAUAUAGUUUAUGACCUAAAAAUGAUAUUUAUUUUUAAAAAUCCAACUUUGGUACCUGUAACAUAGAAACAUUGCCUUUUCUAUACAUUCCUCAUCAUUGUUUGCCCAAAAAAUUAUUUUAAGAGUGUAUGAGACCAGAUUAAAUAUCCAUAUUCAGUUUGGUCAAAUUUUUAAAACUAAAUAUUUAAAUGAGACUCUAUCUUUUGUGUAUUUGGUAUACAUCAACACUUAUGCAAAUCAAGGAUCAGAAAGCAACUGGGGACUAGCCAUCUCUGUUUCCCUUUGCACAUGGGGUACAGUGGGUGGCAUUAGUAUGCACUAGCUGCAGUGUUGUAGCACCUUAUGGAAGUAAGUAGUGUUAAGUACAAUAAAGAAAAAGUUAAGAUGCAUCUCUGUGGAAUAUUUACUUUGCAGAGUGUAAAGCUGUCAUAUCUCUUUCCAGCAGAAUUUAACUCCUACUACUGUUUUCCCUCAAUAACAUGUAAUAGCUGUGUUCUUGCUUAGAAGGUAUGGUUAGAAAAAUGUGAACGAUCACUUAAACCAAAGCCAGUUAUAAGGAGUAUUCUCUCC
RNAcentral lists this long non-coding RNA (2068 nucleotides) under Bos taurus (domestic cattle). RNAcentral describes it as "long non-coding RNA NONBTAT017803". Lineage: Eukaryota; Metazoa; Chordata; Mammalia; Artiodactyla; Bovidae. The record is from RNAcentral.